This 420-nucleotide ribosomal RNA is filed under the name Triticum aestivum (bread wheat). RNAcentral describes it as "partial small subunit ribosomal RNA". The record is from RNAcentral. Lineage: Eukaryota; Viridiplantae; Streptophyta; Magnoliopsida; Poales; Poaceae.
AUGUCUGAUGUAGUGAAGUUGAGAUUUUACUAUGGUCCUGGUACUGUCCAAACAAAUGAGUUGGGAGCAGAUCUGAGUGAAUUUACUCACAUAGAGGUGGCAAUCAGCACACCACAAACAUGGUCUGUUAGUCAGUUGAAAGAAUGGAUUGCGGCAAGUUUAGGUCUUGAUACUGAAACACACACCGUCGGUGUUCAUGCAUUGUGGACACGGUCAAGUUCAAAAAUUUACUUUUAUUUGAGGCCAAUAGAGGGAGACUCCGAUUGGGUGCGGUGGUUACAAGGUUGUGAACGAAGGGGAUGCAAUCCUGUUGCUUUAGUGCUUCCCGUCGUGAAGGAGGUCACUGCACAUGAAGGGGAGGGUGGCUACGAAGGACAGAGCAGUCAUGUAGAAGGAGGAAAUGCUUAUGGUUACGAAUAA